Molecule: transfer RNA, 75 nt
Filed under: Planctomycetota bacterium
Lineage: Bacteria; Pseudomonadati; Planctomycetota
Description: Planctomycetes bacterium (bioreactor metagenome) tRNA-Cys
Rfam family: tRNA
About the family: Transfer RNA (tRNA) molecules are approximately 80 nucleotides in length. Their secondary structure includes four short double-helical elements and three loops (D, anti-codon, and T loops). Further hydrogen bonds mediate the characteristic L-shaped molecular structure. tRNAs have two regions of fundamental functional importance: the anti-codon, which is responsible for specific mRNA codon recognition, and the 3' end, to which the tRNAs corresponding amino acid is attached (by aminoacyl-tRNA synthetases). tRNAs cope with the degeneracy of the genetic code in two manners: having more than one tRNA (with a specific anti-codon) for a particular amino acid; and 'wobble' base-pairing, i.e. permitting non-standard base-pairing at the 3rd anti-codon position.
Source: RNAcentral
GGCGGCAUAGCCAAGCGGUAAGGCGACGGAUUGCAAAUCCGUUAUCCCCCGGUUCGAUUCCGGGUGCCGCCUCCA